AACGAACGCUGGCGGCGCGCCUAAUACAUGCAAGUCGAGCGAGAAGACGUAGCAAUACGUUUGUAAAGCGGCGAACGGGUGAGGAAUGCAUGGGUAACCUACCCUCGAGUGGGGAAUAACUAGCCGAAAGGUUAGCUAAUACCGCGUACGCUCCUUGGACUUCGGUUCAGGGAGGAAAGCGAUACCGUGGGUACCGCGCUCUUGGAUGGGCUCAUGUCCUAUCAGCUUGUUGGUGAGGUAACGGCUCACCAAGGCUUCGACGGGUAGCUGGUCUGAGAGGACGAUCAGCCACACUGGCACUGCGACACGGGCCAGACUCCUACGGGAGGCAGCAGUAAGGAAUAUUGCGCAAUGGGCGAAAGCCUGACGCAGCGACGCCGCGUGGGGGA
This 389-nucleotide ribosomal RNA is filed under the name uncultured bacterium. Its description in RNAcentral is "bacterial SSU rRNA". It matches the Rfam family "Bacterial small subunit ribosomal RNA", at positions 29 to 408 of the family's 1533-position model. The record is from RNAcentral.